This 253-nucleotide ribosomal RNA is filed under the name uncultured bacterium. Its description in RNAcentral is "partial 16S ribosomal RNA". It matches the Rfam family "Bacterial small subunit ribosomal RNA", at positions 524 to 776 of the family's 1533-position model. The record is from RNAcentral.
UACGUAGGGGGCAAGCGUUGUCCGGAUUUAUUGGGCGGAAAGAGCGUGUAGGCGGCCUGACAGGUCUGCUGUGAAAACUCGAGGCUCAACCUCGAGAUGUCGGCGGAAACCGUCUGGCUAGAGUCCGGAAGAGGAGAGUGGAAUUCCUGGUGUAGCGGUGAAAUGCGCAGAUAUCAGGAAGAACACCAAUGGCGAAAGCAGCUUUCUGGGACGGUACUGACGCUGAGACGCGAAAGCGUGGGGAGCGAACAGG